ACGAACGCUGGCGGCGUGCCUAAUACAUGCAAGUAGAACGCUGAAGGAGGAGCUUGCUUCUCUGGAUGAGUUGCGAACGGGUGAGUAACGCGUAGGUAACCUGCCUGGUAGUGGGGGAUAACUAUUGGAAACGAUAGCUAAUACCGCAUAAUAGCAGUUGUUGCAUGAUAACUGUUUGAAAGGUGCAAUUGCACCGCUACCAGAUGGACCUGCGUUGUAUUAGCUAGUUGGUGGGGUAACGGCUCACCAAGGCGACGAUACAUAGCCGACCUGAGAGGGUGAUCGGCCACACUGGGACUGAGACACGGCCCAGACUCCUACGGGAGGCAGCAGUAGGGAAUCUUCGGCAAUGGACGGAAGUCUGACCGAGCAACGCCGCGUGAGUGAAGAAGGGUUUCGGAUCGUAAAGCUCUGUUGUAAGAGAAGAACGAGUGUGAGAGUGGAAAGUUCACACUGUGACGGUAUCUUACCAGAAAGGGACGGCUAACUACGUG
RNAcentral lists this ribosomal RNA (494 nucleotides) under uncultured bacterium. RNAcentral's name for it is "partial 16S ribosomal RNA". It matches the Rfam family "Bacterial small subunit ribosomal RNA", at positions 29 to 507 of the family's 1533-position model. The record is from RNAcentral.